AUUUAUUUCUUUUUUUUUAAAGCCACUAGAGAAGUCCAUCAUGUGGCCAUCAGCUGCCCAUCGAUAUAAAAAUAUUCCUUUUGGUCCUUGAAUUAUUCAAAAUCAUAUUUUCUACCCCAAAACUUUUAAAACUUUACUUUUAGGUCUAAAAUUAAAUUAAACUUUUCUCUCCAAAACUUUAUAAAUUAUAUUUCCAUUCAAAAAAUAACCAUAUUUAAUAUUUCUUAAAAAAUUAGGGUGUUACAUUUCUCUCCUCCUAACAUGAAUUUCAUCCUCGAAAUUUCACAACUUAUGGAACCAUAAAGUCUAAUCUAGGGUUACAACACUCAUAAUUAAAUUCUAUGAUAA
This 348-nucleotide unclassified non-coding RNA is filed under the name Hevea brasiliensis (rubber tree). The record is from RNAcentral. Lineage: Eukaryota; Viridiplantae; Streptophyta; Magnoliopsida; Malpighiales; Euphorbiaceae.